Molecule: ribosomal RNA, 301 nt
Filed under: uncultured bacterium
Lineage: Bacteria
Description: partial 16S ribosomal RNA
Rfam family: Bacterial small subunit ribosomal RNA
Source: RNAcentral
CAGCAGCCGCGGGAAUACGUAGGGUGCAAGCGUUAUCCGGAAUUAUUGGGCGUAAAGAGCUCGUAGGCGGUUUGUCGCAUCUGCUGUGAAAACUGGAGGCUCAACCUCCAGCCUGCAGUGGGUACGGGCAGACUAGAGUGCGGUAGGGGAGAUUGGAAUUCCUGGUGUAGCGGUGGAAUGCGCAGAUAUCAGGAGGAACACCGAUGGCGAAGGCAGAUCUCUGGGCCGUAACUGGCGCUGAGGAGCAAAAGCGUGGGGAGCGAACAGGAUUAGAUACCCCAGUAGUCCCUGUCUCUUAUAC